UCUGGCUAUUGUGGCUACUUGGGGAUGAACCAGCAGGAAGCAGCAGCUGGGAUCAGGGAGGCAGCAGAUUAUCCACCCUCUAUCCAGAAUGGUGGGUGAACAGAUGGGCCUCUCAGCCACGGAACCCUCCUGCUGUCACCCCAGCCGGAAGCACAGGGUCUGCAUUAGCAGGAAGCUCCGGUCAGAAGCCAGAGGCAACGUCCAACCCAGAAACUCUAAUAUGGAGCCUGAGUGUCUGAAUCCACAUCUUCAGUGGUAAGCUACAUCUGCCUCUUGCACUUCGCUGACCAGACUGAACUUGAGCCUAUGUUCACAGGAUGUUGUUUUCAUGUCCAGUUGCCCAUUUCCAGCUAAUUUUUAAAUGCUUUCCUGAAAUGUUUGUGAGAGCUUCCUGGGACAGAAGCUAAAAGGCUAGGCUCUCCCCAGCUGCUUGGUGGACACCUGCUCCAGGGCUUUUGCUGGCUGGCACAGUGGUGUCACUAACCACAGAUGAGCAAGGGCCCAGAGAGGGACAAUGACUCCAGCUGGACAGAGAGCUGGUCUUGGUGGCUGUAUCAGUGGGGGGGACACACACACAGUCCCAGCUCUGUUGAUGGAAUAACUGAAAGGUCUGAGCUUAUCUGACUGUGGGGCCAAUGAGGUAAAAGUGAAACCUGCAGUUCAGGUUGGGUCAGAGCUGCCUUCUGCAUGAAAACCUCCGGCUUUUUCUAUAAGAGUGGGUCAUGCCUCCCAGACCAUGGAAGACCACCAGCUCCUUGACUUCACGAAUCAGGUCGACAGAAUGCGGCCCUCCCUGACCCACGCCAGGGACUGAUUGGCUAACAGGGCGCCAUAGCCCAGGGACCUUGACCUUGAGACUGACCGUCAGUAGUCAUCUGGUUUCUGAGAACACAAAGGCAGGCUUCUCUGCUGAGCAGGCGUCUGGCGGAGCGUGGCACCGGCCAGGGGGUGCUAAGAGAGGGGCCAGCAGGGUUUCUCCACAAUGGAGCUACACACCGCUGGGCAGAUCCUGAAGGUGACCUUGGGAGAGUUGGCAGCUGUGUCCCCACGCGUGCCCACGGGUGUGAGCAGUGGCGCUGCCACCACAGGGGGAUGUUGUGAGGAAGAAGUGAGGGGACGUGGGUCAGGUGAGGAGAACAACACCUGACAGGGAGUAGCCUUGCAGCUGAAUCUUAACUAUUAGUGUCUGUUUCUUUCUUUUUUUUUUUCUCCUCAUUUCCUUGCAAUGCUGCGGCGGCUGAAGGUGCCUGAUCUGUCCACAAGAGGGCACUGCCAACACAGCCUUGAGAGAAUUUUUUUAGGUGAAGACGCUAGAAUUGUAGUUCUUUCUUCUGAACUGGCUUGUGGGACUUCAGAGUUUCUGCUGAGCCUGAAUGUGGGACACAGCCAUUGAUCUCUAAGAGAAUCCUGCUUGCCCCAGCCACCGUAGCUCAGCAGUCUGCUUGAUCCACCGCUGUUCUCUGCAAAUGCGACCAACCCAGGCUAUCCAGUCCUUCAGCUGACCUAGGCCCUGGGGUUUAGUCCCUGGUAGGAGAGCUAAGAGACCGAAAAGCUUCCUUUUGCCUGGAAUCUAAGUGAUCAAAAGAACAGGUAGUGAGGUAGGAGUUAAGAGGACACUUGGGGACACUUCCAUCUCAUAUUGUAGUGUGUGGGUUCAAUUCCCAGCCCUGGCUCCAGGUUUCAGUUUCCUCUCUUCCAGGUAGUAAGUGACAGCCCAAGUAGUAGUAGUAGUAUUGGAUCCCAGCUGCCCAUUGGGAGAGCUGGGUUGAGACUUCGACUUCCAACUUCAUCCUGGCUGGUCGGGGGCUGUUACAGGUGUUAUGGGGAGUGAAAUGGUGGGUGAGCUCCCUCCUCCCCCUCUUCCCUUCUCUCUUGCUGCCUUUCAAAUAAUUAAAAACUGAAACAAAACAGUUCAGGUGAUGAGCAGCAGGAAUUCCCACUGCAAUAGUCCCAAGUGAGAAAACAGAACAAAGAUAGAGUAGAUCAUGAUGAAAGCAGAAAACGCAGUCUAACCAGAAUUCUAUGGUGGGGGAGGGCGUGUGUACCUACAGAGGGACAGAUCUUGUGGUCAUGUAUCUUCUGAAGUGGAACCACACACACACAUACACACACUAUACCUAUGUCAGUUUCCAGGUUCUGAUGUCAGAAUCCUAGAGGUUGGGAGCAGGCGCCCACCUGGGUGGCAUGCCUGGUGCUGCUCCUGACUCCAGCUUCCUACUCAUGCAGACCAUGGGGGUAGCAGGAGAUGGCUUACAUAUGUGAGCAUGCUGGUCGGGCAGAGCAAGGCAUGGUGUGGAGGGCAGCAUUAAGUCAGGAGAGCAGUAAGCACAUCACAGCAGGCAGAAGAUGUUGUCCUAAAGAGAGCAGAAGGAGGUGGCAGAGCUCCCAGGGCAUCCCUCCCUGCCUUGUCUCGAGGUAACAAGUUUGAAUCUCUGAUUUCUUGCUGCUAAAUGGCUUACAGAGAAAAAUUUCCAAAGCACCGUCAUAUUGGAAAUGCUGUGGCAAAAGCAAUGUUGAUGGGGGGUUGGUGGUUUAUGGGACAGUUUUUGCUGUAAGAGAGCCUGCAGAGGUGUGUGUACGGGUGUGAAUGCAUGUAUACAUGUGUGUAUAUACAUGUGUGUGUUCACUCACAAAGCAGCUUAGCACAGGUGUGAGGUGUCCAGAGGACCAGGGUGGGAACAGGAGAGUUUUCUGGAAGUCUCCAUUCACAGUUGUCAGACGUCCUCCCCAUCCUCAUGGCUCUGGACAGCACCCUUCUCUGCUCUCAGGGACCGGAGGUUUCUUGUCUAGAAACCGAACUUGAGAAACUCAACAGGAUUGCAGGGAAGGAAAGUGGGGCAAGUUAGGGGCAAUGCAGAACUCAAAGGGGUUGGGCGCAGAUCUGCACAUUGAGGACUCAGCCUCCAACCUCUUCCUCCCACUCU
Molecule: long non-coding RNA, 2924 nt
Organism: Ochotona curzoniae (black-lipped pika)
Lineage: Eukaryota; Metazoa; Chordata; Mammalia; Lagomorpha; Ochotonidae
Exons: 3
Source: RefSeq, a predicted model, not a curated record